This is a non-coding RNA of Xenopus tropicalis (tropical clawed frog), 634 nucleotides long. NCBI's taxonomy places the organism in Eukaryota, Metazoa, Chordata, Amphibia, Anura, Pipidae. The record is from RefSeq and is a predicted model, not a curated record.
GUUUCUCCAUAGCAACCACUGCGCGGCAUUGCCGGUAUUCUUGCGUUUCCAUAGUGACUGGUGAAUGCGUCAAAAGUGUUACGAAAGUUUGGUUGGAAGCAACUGUUCAAGCACCGCUGGAGGUCUCAGUUUCUGCCCUAAGGGAGCCUUGUUCGUGGGAAGAAAUAAGGGCUCAUGGACAUGGACGUUAACAUUUAAUGGAUCUUUAGCACCUAACAAUGCCUACCAAAAGUGCCAAAACAAAAGGAUCAGGCAAAUCAAGCAGUAAAAGCAAGAAGUCAAAAAAGUCAAAGAAGACAAAAGUACCAAAACCAGAAGUAGAUAUACUCAGUCCAGCUGCCAUGCUCAAUGCCUACUAUAUUUCCCACAAUGCUGUGGACUGCCUGGGCUUUCGUGGUUUUUCGUGGCCUGGGGCACCAAAAAAGAAAGGAAAAAGAGGAAAGAAAAAGUAAAUAACUGCAUAUUGGCCAAAACAGCAUUAAUAAUUGUUUGCAUUGCCAAAAAUGUUGUAACUACUUUCGGCCAAAAAUGUACAAAUAGUGGAUUCAUUGUAACGCAGUAUUCUGGAUUUCCAAUGUUUAUAAAUUGUUCGUUCAACAAUUAAAAAAAGUAAUAUUAUGUAUGGCUAAUAGAA